AGAUUGAACGCUGGCGGCAUGCCUUACACAUGCAAGUCGAACGGUAGAGUAGCAAUACUUGAGAGUGGCGAACGGGUGAGUAAUAUAUCGGAACGUGCCCAGUCGUGGGGGAUAACGUAGAGAAAUUUACGCUAAUACCGCAUACGAUCUAAGGAUGAAAGCGGGGGACUCGCAAGAGCCUCGCGCGAUUGGAGCGGCUGAUAUCAGAUUAGGUUGUUGGUGAGGUAAAAGCUCACCAAGCCGACGAUCUGUAGCUGGUUUGAGAGAACGACCAGCCACACUGGGACUGAGACACGGCCCAGACUCCUACGGGAGGCAGCAGUGGGGAAUUUUGGACAAUGGGCGAAAGCCUGAUCCAGCAAUGCCGCGUGCAGGAAGAAGGCCUUCGGUUGUAAACUGCUUUUUGUACGGAACGAACGUCUGCGUUUAAUACAGCGAUAAUGACGGUACG
RNAcentral lists this ribosomal RNA (451 nucleotides) under uncultured soil bacterium. Its description in RNAcentral is "bacterial SSU rRNA". It matches the Rfam family "Bacterial small subunit ribosomal RNA", at positions 26 to 479 of the family's 1533-position model. The record is from RNAcentral.